Molecule: ribosomal RNA, 253 nt
Filed under: uncultured bacterium
Lineage: Bacteria
Description: partial 16S ribosomal RNA
Rfam family: Bacterial small subunit ribosomal RNA
Source: RNAcentral
UACGUAGGGAGCAAGCGUUGCUCGGAAUCACUGGGCGUAAAGCGCACGUAGGCGGACUCUUAAGUCGGUGGUGAAAUCCUGGAGCUCAACUCCAGAACUGCCUUCGAUACUGAGAGUCUCGAGUCCGAGAGAGGUGAGUGGAACUGCGAGUGUAGAGGUGAAAUUCGUAGAUAUUCGCAAGAACACCAGUGGCGAAGGCGGCUCACUGGCGCGGUACUGACGCUGAGGUGCGAAAGCGUGGGGAGCAAACAGG